Molecule: long non-coding RNA, 386 nt
Filed under: Ananas comosus (pineapple)
Lineage: Eukaryota; Viridiplantae; Streptophyta; Magnoliopsida; Poales; Bromeliaceae
Description: long non-coding RNA (ACOM_LNC042754)
Source: RNAcentral
AUCAUCUUUUGUAUUUGAUGAUUUUAGUAUUAUGAACAUGUUUAAAUGAAUAAUGAAAAUGAUAUUUAUUUUAAAUGUCAAAAGUUAUGUUUUGGGAGAAAUGAGAUGUAAAAAGAAAUGAUGUAAGAAUGUGAAAGAACUUGAUUAUAGUUGGAUGCAUGUAUGUGAUUUAAAUUUAGUCAUAUUACUUGUAUGUUGGAUUAUUAAUUCUUUCACUUUGGCUAUUGCUUGCCCUCGUGCAAGCCAUUGUGUAUGCUUCCGCUUAUGCAAGUUUUAUACUCUAUUGAUACUUGUGUUGAGCCUUGGGCGGACAGGGGAGGCUUUGUCCGUUCGGCGUCUGUUCGACGCUAUUGAACCGGCCAAAAGGAUCAAGCUCGGGGCGUGAC